UGCAGUCGUGCGCGAAAGGCCCUUCGGGGCCGAGUAGAGCGGCGAAAGGGUGAGUAACGCAAGGAUAACCUUCCCUUGGAACGGGAAUAGCUGGCCGAAAGGCUUGGUAAUACCCGGUAACGUCCGUCUGACGCAUGUCAGACUGACCAAAGGUGGGGCUUCCUCGUGAACCUGCCGUCCGAGGAGGGGUCCUUGCCCUAUCAGCUAGUUGGUAGGGUAAUAGCCUACCAAGGCAACGACGGGUAGCCGGCCUGAGAGGGCGGCCGGCCACACUGGGACUGAGACACGGCCCAGAGCCCUACGGGGCGCAGCAGCCUUGAAUCAUCCGCAAUGGGCGAAAGCCUGACGGUGCGACGCCGCGUGGGGGAAGAAGGCCUUCGGGUUGUAAACCCCUGUCACGAAGGAUGAAUCGGAAGGGUGAUAAUACCGCCUUUCCCUGACCAAUCUCGAGAGGAAGCAGCGGCUAACUGCGUGCCAGCAGCAGCGGUGACACGUAGGCUGCAAGCGUUGCUCGGUUUCACUGGGCGUGAAGGGCGUGUAGGCGGCUCGAUAAGUCAGGUGUGAAAUCCUCCGGCUUAACCGGAGAACUGCGCCUGAUACUGCCGGGCUUGAGUGCAGGAGGGGGGAGUGGAACUCCUGGUGGAGCGGUGAAAUGCGUUGAUAUCAGGAGGAACGCCGGUGACGAAGGUGACUCCCUAGCCUGUAACUGACGCUGAGGCGCGAAAGCUGGGGGAGCGAACGGGAUUANAUACCCCGGUAGUCCCAGCC
Molecule: ribosomal RNA, 768 nt
Filed under: uncultured bacterium
Lineage: Bacteria
Description: bacterial SSU rRNA
Rfam family: Bacterial small subunit ribosomal RNA
Source: RNAcentral